GAUGAACGCUGGCGGCGUGCCUAAUACAUGCAAGUCGAGCGAACGGACGAGAAGCUUGCUUCUCUGUUGUUAGCGGCGGACGUGUGAGUAACACGUGUAUACCCUCCCUAUCAGACUGGGAUAACUACGGAACACCGGCUCUAAUCCCGUAUGAUCUUUUGAACCGCAUGGUUCAAAAGUGAAAGACGGUCUUGCUGUCACUUCUCGCUGGAUCCGCGCUGCAUUAGCUAGUUGUUACGGUAACGGCUUACCAAGGCAACGAUGCAUAGCCGAACUGAGAGGGUGAUCGGCCACACUGGAACGGAGACACGGUCCAGAGUCCUACGGGAGGCAGCAGUAGGGAAUCUGCCGCAAUGGGCGAAAGCCUGACGGAGAAACGCCGAGUGAGUGAUGAAGGUCUUCGGAUCGUAAAACUCGGUUAUUAGGGAAGAACAUAUGUGUAAGUAACUGUGCACAUCUUGACGGUAAAUAAUCAGAAAGCCACGGCUAAAUACGUG
RNAcentral lists this ribosomal RNA (497 nucleotides) under uncultured bacterium. RNAcentral's name for it is "partial 16S ribosomal RNA". It matches the Rfam family "Bacterial small subunit ribosomal RNA", at positions 28 to 507 of the family's 1533-position model. The record is from RNAcentral.